GACGAACGCUGGCGGCGUGCUUAACACAUGCAAGUCGAACGCACGGCCUUGGGGUUUUCUUGGGGUUGGUGAGUGGCGAACGGGUGAGUAACACGUGAGUAACCUGCCCUCUUCUUUGGGAUAACGGUCGGAAACGGCUGCUAAUACUGGAUAUUCACACAUUGUCGCAUGGUGGUGUGUGGAAAGCUUUUGUGGUGGGGAUGGGCUCGCGGCCUAUCAGCUGGUUGGUGGGGUAACGGCCCACCAAGGCGACGAUCAGUAGCCGACCUGAGAGGGCGACCGGCCACAUUGGGACUGAGACACGGCCCAA
RNAcentral lists this ribosomal RNA (310 nucleotides) under uncultured bacterium. RNAcentral describes it as "bacterial SSU rRNA". It matches the Rfam family "Bacterial small subunit ribosomal RNA", at positions 28 to 334 of the family's 1533-position model. The record is from RNAcentral.